CUACGGGACGCUGCAGUGGGGAAUUUUGGACAAUGGGGGCAACCCUGAUCCAGCCAUGCCGCGUGAGUGAAGAAGGCCUUCGGGUUGUAAAGCUCUUUCGGCCGGGAAAAAAUCGCAUGGGUUAAUACCCUGUGUGGAUGAUGGUACCGGAAUAAGAAGCACCGGCUAACUACGUGCCAGCAGCCGCGGUAAUACGUAGGGUGCGAGCGUUAAUCGGAAUUACUGGGCGUAAAGCGUGCGCAGGCGGUUUGAUAAGACAGGCGUGAAAUCCCCGGGCUCAACCUGGGAACUGCGCUUGUGACUGUCUCACUAGAGUACGGCAGAGGGGGGUGGAAUUCCACGUGUAGCAGUGAAAUGCGUAGAGAUGUGGAGGAACACCAAUGGCGAAGGCAGCCCCCUGGGUCGAUACUGACGCUCAUGCACGAAAGCGUGGGGAGCAAACAGGAUUAGAUACCCGUGUAGUC
RNAcentral lists this ribosomal RNA (464 nucleotides) under uncultured bacterium. Its description in RNAcentral is "partial 16S ribosomal RNA". It matches the Rfam family "Bacterial small subunit ribosomal RNA", at positions 339 to 795 of the family's 1533-position model. The record is from RNAcentral.